GGGCCCGCACAAGCGGAGGAGCAUGUGGUUUAAUUCGAUGAUACGCGAGGAACCUUACCUAGACUUGAACGCAGGGAGAAUAUAUAAGAAAUUAUAUAGCUAGCAAUAGCUGCCUGCGAGGUGCUGCAUGGUUGUCGUCAGCUCGUGCCGUGAGGUGUUAGGUUAAGUCCUGCAACGAGCGCAACCCUUACCGUUAGUUACCAGCAUGUAAUGAUGGGGACUCUAGCGGAACUGCCCGCGCAAGCGUGGAGGAAGGUGGGGAUGACGUCAAAAAUCAGCACGGCCCUUACGUCUAGGGCGACACACGUGCUACAAUGGUUGGUACAGAGGGCAGCUACCCCGCGAGGGGAUGCGAAUCUCUAAAGCCAAUCUCAGUUCGGAUCGGAGUCUGCAACUCGACUCCGUGAAGUUGGAUUCGCUAGUAAUCGCGCAUCAGCCAUGGCG
This 444-nucleotide ribosomal RNA is filed under the name uncultured Bacteroidota bacterium. RNAcentral's name for it is "bacterial SSU rRNA". It matches the Rfam family "Bacterial small subunit ribosomal RNA", at positions 917 to 1359 of the family's 1533-position model. The record is from RNAcentral. Lineage: Bacteria; Pseudomonadati; Bacteroidota.